AAGCCGCCGUGUCGACCUCAUCAGGGGUAG
Molecule: small RNA, 30 nt
Filed under: Bombyx mori (domestic silkworm)
Lineage: Eukaryota; Metazoa; Arthropoda; Insecta; Lepidoptera; Bombycidae
Description: ovarian small RNA-10579
Source: RNAcentral